Herpailurus yagouaroundi (jaguarundi) is the source of this 529-nucleotide long non-coding RNA. RefSeq lists it as uncharacterized. NCBI's taxonomy places the organism in Eukaryota, Metazoa, Chordata, Mammalia, Carnivora, Felidae. The record is from RefSeq and is a predicted model, not a curated record. The transcript is spliced from 2 exons.
UUAUAUUAAGUGAAAUAAGUCAGAGAAAGACUGAUACUGUAUGACAUCGCUUAUAUGUAGAUUCUAAAAAUGCCGUAGAAACAGAGAGUAGAAUAGUGGUUACCAGGGGCUGGAGGAUUGGGGAAAAGCGGCGAUGUUGGACAGAAGAUACAAACUCUAGUUCUAAGGAAAAUCAACAAGAACAUGGAUCCUAUCACACUCAGGGUCUCAUCAUGAAGCAGAUGGAACCCUCAAAAGGUUAACUGAGACAAGCCUAAUGAGAAACAGUUUACAAAGGUGUUGGUAAAAUUAAAGGAGUCCAUACAAGGUGCUAAAGCACCCUGGGAUCGGUACCAUUGGGAAGCUGUUAUCUCCUUCAAGCUUACAUGUAGGAACAAGGACAAGAAGCCCAGACAAAGCUUUGAGCCAUGAAACAAAGUCCAUCAGAUUGAAGCAGCAAUCCCAGAAAGAGUCACUGGUAGAAAUGGGGUGACACUGGAAGGAAUCAGAGGGAAUAAAUUCUUUUAAAAUAAAAUAAAUUUUAUUUUCU